This 253-nucleotide ribosomal RNA is filed under the name uncultured bacterium. RNAcentral's name for it is "partial 16S ribosomal RNA". It matches the Rfam family "Bacterial small subunit ribosomal RNA", at positions 524 to 776 of the family's 1533-position model. The record is from RNAcentral.
UACGUAGGGGGCAAGCGUUGUCCGGAAUUAUUGGGCGUAAAGAGCGUGUAGGCGGCCAGAUAAGUCCGCUGUGAAAUCUCGAGGCUCAACUUCGAGCUGUCGGUGGAAACUAUCUGGCUAGAGUCCGGAAGAGGAGAAUGGAAUUCCUGGUGUAGCGGUGAAAUGCGCAGAUAUCAGGAAGAACACCCGUGGCGAAGGCGGUUCUCUGGGACGGUACUGACGCUGAGACGCGAAAGCGUGGGGAGCAAACAGG